GGAAGCAGGUCAAUAUUCCUGCACCAUUGUUAGAUGCGAUGGGGGGACGGAUCGCGGAAGGUUGUCCGGGUGUUGGAAGUCCCGGUCGCUGCAUUGGAGAAGGCGCUUAGGCAAAUCCGGGCGCGUAAUUCAAGGGUGUGGCGCGAGCUCCUUCGGGAGCGAAGCAAUUGGAAGUGGUUCCAAGAAAAGCCUCUAAGCUUCAGU
This 204-nucleotide ribosomal RNA is filed under the name Burkholderia anthina. RNAcentral's name for it is "partial 23S ribosomal RNA". It matches the Rfam family "Bacterial large subunit ribosomal RNA", at positions 1421 to 1631 of the family's 2925-position model. Lineage: Bacteria; Pseudomonadati; Pseudomonadota; Betaproteobacteria; Burkholderiales; Burkholderiaceae. The record is from RNAcentral.